GACAGAGGGUGCAAACGUUGUUCGGAAUUACUGGGCGUAAAGCGCGUGUAGGCUGCUCGGAAAGUCGGAUGUGAAAGCCCUGGGCUCAACCUAGGAAGUGCAUUCGAAACCUCCGAGCUGGAGUACUGGAGAGGAAGGCGGAAUUCUCGGUGUAGAGGUGAAAUUCGUAGAUAUCGAGAGGAACACCGGUGGCGAAGGCGGCCUUCUGGACAGUAACUGACGCUGAGACGCGAAAGCGUGGGGAGCAAACAGG
RNAcentral lists this ribosomal RNA (253 nucleotides) under uncultured bacterium. RNAcentral's name for it is "partial 16S ribosomal RNA". It matches the Rfam family "Bacterial small subunit ribosomal RNA", at positions 524 to 776 of the family's 1533-position model. The record is from RNAcentral.